GAUUUCUGGUCCGAGGCAGUCGGCCCGCCGUGGUUUCACGCGUGAGUGCUGAUCCGCCUCUGCCAUCCUUCUAGCGUCGCGUCGCUCGCUUCAUUGCGGGCGACGCUGAUCUAGAUCGUUUACUUUGAACAAAUUAGAGUGUUUCAAGCAGGCUGCUGCCGUUGAAUACAUUAGCAUGGAAUAAUGAGUUAGGACUUCGGUUCUAUUUUGUUGGUUUCUAGAGCUGAAGUAAUGAUUGAUAGGGAUAGUUGGGGGUGCUAGUAUUCAGUGGCCAGAGGUGAAAUUCUCGGAUUCCCUGAAGACUAACUUCUGCGAAAGCAUU
RNAcentral lists this ribosomal RNA (322 nucleotides) under uncultured Cercomonas. RNAcentral's name for it is "partial 18S ribosomal RNA". The stretch from base 107 to 322 matches the Rfam family "Eukaryotic small subunit ribosomal RNA", at positions 739 to 955 of the family's 1831-position model. The record is from RNAcentral. Lineage: Eukaryota; Cercozoa; Cercomonadida; Cercomonadidae.